Molecule: microRNA precursor, 96 nt
Filed under: Bigelowiella natans CCMP2755
Lineage: Eukaryota; Cercozoa; Chlorarachniophyceae
Description: miRNA EPrBNAG00000013269
Source: RNAcentral
CAAUGGGAUGAUGAUGAUGAUGAUAAUGAGGAGAUUAUGUGUGUAAGUCCCCACUCGACGACAUCAUCAUCAUCAUCAUCAUCAUCAUCGGCGUCG